CCAAACUGUUGCCUCGGCGGGGUCACGCCCCGGGCGCGUCGCAGCCCCGGAACCAGGCGCCCGCCGGAGGGACCAACCAAACUCUUUUCUGUAGUCCCCUCGCGGACGUUAUUUCUUACAGCUCUGAGCAAAAAUUCAAAAUGAAUCAAAACUUUCAACAACGGAUCUCUUGGUUCUGGCAUCGAUGAAGAACGCAGCGAAAUGCGAUAAGUAAUGUGAAUUGCAGAAUUCAGUGAAUCAUCGAAUCUUUGAACGCACAUUGCGCCCGCCAGUAUUCUGGCGGGCAUGCCUGUCCGAGCGUCAUUUCAACCCUCGAACCCCUCCGGGGGGUCGGCGUUGGGGACCUCGGGAGCCCCUAAGACGGGAUCCCGGCCCCGAAAUACAGUGGCGGUCUCGCCGCAGCCUCUCCUGCGCAGUAGUUUGCACAACUCGCACCGGGAGCGCGGCGCGUCCACGUCCGUAAAACACCCAACUUCUGAAAUGUUGACCUCGGAUCAGGUAGGAAUACCCGCUGAACUUAAGCAUAUCAAUAAGCGGAGGAA
This 542-nucleotide ribosomal RNA is filed under the name Trichoderma harzianum. RNAcentral describes it as "eukaryotic LSU rRNA". The stretch from base 150 to 303 matches the Rfam family "5.8S ribosomal RNA". The record is from RNAcentral. Lineage: Eukaryota; Fungi; Ascomycota; Sordariomycetes; Hypocreales; Hypocreaceae. RNAcentral also lists the same sequence under 2 other names.